RNAcentral lists this ribosomal RNA (421 nucleotides) under uncultured Sulfitobacter sp. Its description in RNAcentral is "bacterial SSU rRNA". It matches the Rfam family "Bacterial small subunit ribosomal RNA", at positions 56 to 524 of the family's 1533-position model. Lineage: Bacteria; Pseudomonadati; Pseudomonadota; Alphaproteobacteria; Rhodobacterales; Roseobacteraceae. The record is from RNAcentral.
UGCAGUCGAGCGAGACCUUCGGGUUUAGCGGCGGACGGGUUAGUAACGCGUGGGAACGUGCCCUUCUCUAAGGAAUAGCCACUGGAAACGGUGAGUAAUACCUUAUACGCCCUUCGGGGGAAAGAUUUAUCGGAGAAGGAUCGGCCCGCGUUAGAUUAGGUAGUUGGUGGGGUAAUGGCCUACCAAGCCUACGAUCUAUAGCUGGUUUUAGAGGAUGAUCAACAACACUGGGACUGAGACACGGCCCAGACUCCUACGGGAGGCAGCAGUGGGGAAUCUUGGACAAUGGGCGCAAGCCUGAUCCAGCCAUGCCGCGUGAGUGAUGAAGGCCUUAGGGUCGUAAAGCUCUUUCGCCAGGGAUGAUAAUGACAGUACCUGGUAAAGAAACCCCGGCUAACUCCGUGCCAGCAGCCGCGGUAAU